CGGGCUUUAGUUUAUAAAAAUAAUAGCAUUGGAAGCUAUCGAUCGGAUCUUUCCGAAGCCCGA
RNAcentral lists this transfer RNA (63 nucleotides) under Magelona mirabilis. Its description in RNAcentral is "tRNA-Pro". Lineage: Eukaryota; Metazoa; Annelida; Polychaeta; Spionida; Magelonidae. The record is from RNAcentral.